AUUUCACUGGCAACUUUGAGAUAAUAGUUGGCUGACAUGAAUCUGCCACUUGCUUUUUUCAAGGCUUUUAAGACUCUAUGGCACAAAGAGGCACUACAGAAAAUCCCAGAAUUUAUUCCGACUGAAGCAAUAUGCAACUGGCAAAACUGGCAGCUGAAAGGAUCCUGAAUCAGAAGGUAGUGUGACCAUCAACAUUUCUCCAGCUUACCUUACUAGCUCAAUGUUACACUCUGAGAAU
This is a long non-coding RNA of Pan paniscus (pygmy chimpanzee), 238 nucleotides long. NCBI's taxonomy places the organism in Eukaryota, Metazoa, Chordata, Mammalia, Primates, Hominidae. The record is from Ensembl.